This 119-nucleotide ribosomal RNA is filed under the name Propithecus coquereli (Coquerel's sifaka). Lineage: Eukaryota; Metazoa; Chordata; Mammalia; Primates; Indriidae. The record is from RNAcentral.
GUCUACGGCCAUACCACCCUGAACGUGCCCGAUCUUAUCUGAUCUUGGAAGCUAAGCAGGAUCGGGCCUGGUUAGUACUUGGAUGAGAGAAAAUUUAGGUAAUUUGAUCAGGGUUGUCU